GGAAGAUUGAAGACUUGAAAGAGGCACCAAAAAAUGGGUAAGGCCGGGGCAGCCACGAUACCUCCCACCCCAGGCCCAGCCCGUUUAAUUUGAAUGCACCUGCCAUCUCUUGUCUUCU
Molecule: microRNA precursor, 118 nt
Filed under: Callithrix jacchus (white-tufted-ear marmoset)
Lineage: Eukaryota; Metazoa; Chordata; Mammalia; Primates; Cebidae
Description: microRNA cja-mir-9978 precursor
Source: miRBase by way of RNAcentral